AGAGUUUGAUCAUGGCUCAGGACGAACGCUGGCGGCGUGCUUAAUACAUGCAAGUCGAGCGAGGUUAUCUUUUCAACGUCCUUCGGGACGGCGAAUUUUUAACCUAGCGGCGGACGGGUGAGUAACGCGUGGGUAAUCUGCCCUAAAGCCCGGGAUAACAGUGGGAAACUGCUGCUAAUACCGGAUAGCUUUAUCUGGAGGCAUCUUCGGAUAAGGAAACGUAAGGCUUUAGGAUGAGCCCGCGUCCCAUUAGCUAGUUGGUGAGGUAACGGCCCACCAAGGCGACGAUGGGUAGCCGGCCUGAGAGGGUGAACGGCCACACUGGGACUGAGACACGGCCCAGACUCCUACGGGAGGCAGCAGUAGGGAAUAUUGCGCAAUGGAGGGAACUCUGACGCAGCGACGCCGCGUGAGCGAUGAAGGUUUUCGGAUCGUAAAGCUCUGUCCUUGGGGAAGAAGAGCGCUUUUAAGCGCCUUUGACGGUACCCAAGGAGGAAGCCCCGGCUAACUACGUGCCAGCAGCCGCGGUAAUACGUAGGGGGCAAGCGUUGUCCGGAAUUAUUGGGCGUAAAGGGUGCGUAGG
Molecule: ribosomal RNA, 583 nt
Filed under: uncultured bacterium
Lineage: Bacteria
Description: bacterial SSU rRNA
Rfam family: Bacterial small subunit ribosomal RNA
Source: RNAcentral